This 116-nucleotide ribosomal RNA is filed under the name Vibrio parahaemolyticus. The record is from RNAcentral. Lineage: Bacteria; Pseudomonadati; Pseudomonadota; Gammaproteobacteria; Vibrionales; Vibrionaceae.
CUUGGCGACCAUAGCGUUUUGGACCCACCUGACUCCAUUCCGAACUCAGAAGUGAAACGAAAUAGCGUCGAUGGUAGUGUGGGGCUUCCCCAUGUGAGAGUAGGACAUCGCCAGGC